CGACCAGGACCUAAGAAUAUGGCAGUCACUUCUGUUUAUACAAACUUCUCUCUCUCUCUUUCUCCAGCUAUCCUGGUCUACAGAGUAUUUCGUCAUGAGCCCAAGAAGAAUGUUAAGCUGCUCCAUGGCACAAUUCACCUGCUUGCCCUCAUCAUCAGUAUUGUAGGCUUUGUAGCUGUAUUCGACUUCCACAGAGCAG
Molecule: long non-coding RNA, 199 nt
Organism: Monopterus albus (swamp eel)
Lineage: Eukaryota; Metazoa; Chordata; Actinopteri; Synbranchiformes; Synbranchidae
Exons: 2
Source: RefSeq, a predicted model, not a curated record